GCAUGGACGAAUUCUGUUCCAGCUGUUCUGUGGUGGAUACAGUCAGACACCAUGCAAAAACAUUUCUGAUUUCUGCCUUAUGACUGGAAGAGUGCUUCCCUUUAGCCGCAUCCAGCUGUGCAGGAAUCCGUACAAUG
Eleginops maclovinus (Patagonian blennie) is the source of this 137-nucleotide small nucleolar RNA. RefSeq annotates it as small nucleolar RNA SNORA15. NCBI's taxonomy places the organism in Eukaryota, Metazoa, Chordata, Actinopteri, Perciformes, Eleginopidae. The transcript has a single exon. The record is from RefSeq and is a predicted model, not a curated record.